RNAcentral lists this ribosomal RNA (252 nucleotides) under uncultured bacterium. Its description in RNAcentral is "partial 16S ribosomal RNA". It matches the Rfam family "Bacterial small subunit ribosomal RNA", at positions 524 to 776 of the family's 1533-position model. The record is from RNAcentral.
UACGUAGGGGGCUAGCGUUAUCCGGAAUUACUGGGCGUAAAGGGUGCGUAGGUGGUUUCUUAAGUCAGAGGUGAAUGGCUACGGCUCAACCGUAGUAAGCCUUUGAAACUGGGGAACUUGAGUGCAGGAGAGGAGAGUGGAAUUCCUAGUGUAGCGGUGAAAUGCGUAGAUAUUAGGAGGAACACCAGUUGCGAAGGCGGCUCUCUGGACUGUAACUAACACUGAGGCACGAAAGCGUGGGGAGCAAACAGG